UACGGGGGGAGCAAGCGUUGUUCGGAUUUACUGGGCGUAAAGAGCUCGUAGGCGGUCUGUCGCGUCGGAUGUGAAAAUCCAGGGCUUAACCCUGGACCUGCAUUCGAUACGGGCAGACUAGAGUUCGGUAGGGGAGACUGGAAUUCCUGGUGUAGCGGUGAAAUGCGCAGAUAUCAGGAGGAACACCGGUGGCGAAGGCGGGUCUCUGGGCCGAUACUGACGCUGAGGAGCGAAAGCGUGGGGAGCGAACAGG
This 253-nucleotide ribosomal RNA is filed under the name uncultured bacterium. Its description in RNAcentral is "partial 16S ribosomal RNA". It matches the Rfam family "Bacterial small subunit ribosomal RNA", at positions 524 to 776 of the family's 1533-position model. The record is from RNAcentral.